UACAGAGGGUGCGAGCGUUAAUCGGAUUUACUGGGCGUAAAGCGUGCGUAGGUGGUUUGAUAAGUCUGCUGUGAAAGCCCCGGGCUCAACCUGGGAACGGCAGUGGAUACUGGCAAGCUAGAGUGUGUCAGAGGAUGGUGGAAUUCCCGGUGUAGCGGUGAAAUGCGUAGAGAUCGGGAGGAACAUCAGUGGCGAAGGCGGCCAUCUGGGACAACACUGACGCUGAGGCACGAAAGCGUGGGGAGCAAACAGG
This 253-nucleotide ribosomal RNA is filed under the name uncultured bacterium. RNAcentral describes it as "partial 16S ribosomal RNA". It matches the Rfam family "Bacterial small subunit ribosomal RNA", at positions 524 to 776 of the family's 1533-position model. The record is from RNAcentral.